This 227-nucleotide unclassified non-coding RNA is filed under the name Hevea brasiliensis (rubber tree). The record is from RNAcentral. Lineage: Eukaryota; Viridiplantae; Streptophyta; Magnoliopsida; Malpighiales; Euphorbiaceae.
AAGGGUAGUUAGUUCCCUGAAGCCCAACCGACUCAACAUACAUGGGUGUAGUCUUUACAUAACCAACCAUUAGCUUCCACCAUCUAACUAUUUGAAAUCAAAUUCCGACUUGAUUUGUUGAUAAUUUUUCACAAUUCUUUUAACAAUUUAGGACCGUCGUAUGACUCUUCUCAUUAGAAUUCUUGAUAACCUUAAACCUCUACUUGAUACCACUGAAGAAUGAAAAG